This 861-nucleotide ribosomal RNA is filed under the name Clitopilus crispus. RNAcentral's name for it is "partial large subunit ribosomal RNA". It matches the Rfam family "Eukaryotic large subunit ribosomal RNA", at positions 70 to 946 of the family's 3401-position model. Lineage: Eukaryota; Fungi; Basidiomycota; Agaricomycetes; Agaricales; Entolomataceae. The record is from RNAcentral.
AAGGAUUCCCCUAGUAACUGCGAGUGAAGCGGGAAAAGCUCAAAUUUAAAAUCUGGUAGUUUCACUGCCCGAGUUGUAAACUAGAGAAGCGUUAUCCGCGCUGGACCGUGUAUAAGUCUCCUGGAAUGGAGCGUCAUAGAGGGUGAGAAUCCCGUCUUUGACACGGACUACCAGGGCUUUGUGAUGCGCUCUCAAAGAGUCGAGUUGUUUGGGAAUGCAGCUCUAAAUGGGUGGUAAAUUCCAUCUAAAGCUAAAUAUUGGCGAGAGACCGAUAGCGAACAAGUACCGUGAGGGAAAGAUGAAAAGAACUUUGGAAAGAGAGUUAAACAGUACGUGAAAUUGUUGAAAGGGAAACGCUUGAAGUCAGUCGCGUCGGCUAGGAAUCAGCCUUGCUUUUGCUUGGUGUACUUUCUAGUCGACGGGUCAGCAUCAGUUUUGAUCGGUGGAAAAAGGCCAGCGGAAUGUGGCACCUUCGGGUGUGUUAUAGCUGCUGGUUGUAUACAUCGGUUGGGACUGAGGAACUAGCACUCUGUGUUUUAGAUGCUGGCAUAAUGGCUUUAAUCGACCCGUCUUGAAACACGGACCAAGGAGUCUAACAUGCCUGCGAGUGUUUGGGUGGAAAACCCGAGCGCGUAAUGAAAGUGAAAGUUGAGAUCCCUGUCGUGGGGAGCAUCGACGCCCGGACCAGACCUUUUGUGACGGAUCCGCGGUAGAGCAUGUAUGUUGGGACCCGAAAGAUGGUGAACUAUGCCUGAAUAGGGUGAAGCCAGAGGAAACUCUGGUGGAGGCUCGUAGCGAUUCUGACGUGCAAAUCGAUCGUCAAAUUUGGGUAUAGGGGCGAAAGACUAAUCGAACCAUCUA